GAUGAACGCUGGCGGCGUGCCUAAUACAUGCAAGUCGAGCGAACAGAUAAGGAGCUUGCUCCUUUGACGUUAGCGGCGGACGGGUGAGUAACACGUGGGUAACCUACCUAUAAGACUGGAAUAACUCCGGGAAACCGGGGCUAAUGCCGGAUAACAUUUAGAACCGCAUGGUUCUAAAGUGAAAGAUGGUUUUGCUAUCACUUAUAGAUGGACCCGCGCCGUAUUAGCUAGUUGGUAAGGUAACGGCUUACCAAGGCAACGAUACGUAGCCGACCUGAGAGGGUGAUCGGCCACACUGGAACUGAGACACGGUCCAGACUCCUACGGGAGGCAGCAGUAGGGAACCUUCCGCAAUGGGCGAAAGCCUGACGGAGCAACGCCGCGUGAGUGAUGAAGGUCUUCGGAUCGUAAAACUCUGUUAUUAGGGAAGAACAAAUGUGUAAGUAACUGUGCACGUCUUGACGGUACCUAAUCAGAAAGCCACGGCUAACUACGUG
Molecule: ribosomal RNA, 497 nt
Filed under: uncultured bacterium
Lineage: Bacteria
Description: partial 16S ribosomal RNA
Rfam family: Bacterial small subunit ribosomal RNA
Source: RNAcentral